This 1604-nucleotide unclassified non-coding RNA is filed under the name Hevea brasiliensis (rubber tree). The record is from RNAcentral. Lineage: Eukaryota; Viridiplantae; Streptophyta; Magnoliopsida; Malpighiales; Euphorbiaceae.
UUAACCCAAAUUCAACGAAUAACAAAUUUAGAACUUGUGAUAUGGGCAUUUCUGUAUCUUCUUUCUUCAGUAGCCAAAAGAGAAAGAAGAAAAGAAAACCACUAAAAACCGAGUGUCACUGAAUCACACAUUUGGCACAACGAGUUUUCAUAAUGGCUUAAAUACAUCAAUGUUUAAGUUUGCCCAGGGUUCUCAUGCAUGAACAAUGAGUAUGCAUUCCCUUCAAAUUUUGUUUGUAGGAGAAAUUCCAUGCGGUUGAUUUGCCUUUACACUAACAGCUUAUUGUAGAAUCUGUCAAUUGAAAAGGUGCUCCAUGAGACCUUUAAUUACAAAAUGCUACAAACUCCGAAUAAAUCCAGCUGCGAAAUCCAUUCCCAAGCCAAUGUUGAACCAAAACAUUUCAAGGCCAUCUUUCCACGGAUGCUCAACUUUCUCAUGACCUUUAGGCAAUGCAUCUUCUGGGCAACUUUCCAACUGAGGUCUGCAGAGUCCACUAUUGCCGAUGUAGAUGGAUUUGUCAUCCAGAGUUUGGAGUGCGUUUCCAGAAGGAAUUAGGACACAAGUUCAAGUGACUUAAAAAAAGUUUAAAUCAGCAAUGCUGGUUGAAAUAGACCAAAACAAAUGGAGAGAGGGAAAGUUUUAUAAAGUAAAGUAAGGUGGGGAAGGUUUUAUAAAGUAGAGUAAGGUAAGAUAAGGAAAGGUAAGGUGACAAAAUCUUCUCAACCAUCCAAUUUAGUGGGUUGAAAAAGUGAGAAUUUUGAAGGUUUAGAAACCUUCAAAAAUCUUAUCUUCUUUAAAAUACUUUCCUCUCAAAACUCAUCAUUAAAAACUCAUCUUUCACUUCCAAAAACUUCCUCCUAAACAAGUUGUUAAGAGAUUUUAAUUUGUCAAUAUUCCAAGGGAUAUGCUCAUCUAAUUUGUUUCUAUAUAAAUUCAAGUUCUCUAGACUUGAAAGAUCCGUAAUUUCCUUAGGAAUCUCUCUAUAAAAAUUAUUUCCUGAAAGGUCAAUAAAAUAGAGAAAUCGAAGUGUACUGAUAUUUAAGCUGUAUUCCAUUGACAUAAACCACAGUGUUCUUCUUUUAACUUAUAUGAAGAUGUUCAAAAGCACUUACAGGGCGAGGAUAACUGUAAUAGUCCCGAAGUCCUGUGUCUUUACAGCCAUUGCUGUAAAAUUGCCGAAACAAGUAGGAAGGGUUCCGUUCACCAUGUUGUUUGCCAAGUUCAAUGUGCGAAGAGAAGCCAGGUAGCAAAGCUGCAGAGGAAUCUCACCUUCAAUCCUAUUGGAGUGAACAUCGAGUAUUAUCAAUGACAUUGGCGUAGUUUUUCCUUGCAUAUCAUUACUUUGUAAAUGUAGUGACGCAAGACUGCUCAAUGAACCCAAAGACUUUGGAAUAUGGCCACUCUGAAUAUUAUUUGAUAGAUCAAUCGUCCAUUAAAUCGCUCAAAUAGCACAAACAUCGGGGAAGACUUCCUGACAGCUGAUUUUUGGAUAGAUGAAGAAUUUCUAAUGAGUAAAUCCUGGAUAAAGAAGCUGGAAUGGUACAAUUCAAAUAGUUGUUGGAAAGAAUAAUAACUUAAAUCUUGGCAUAAUUUUGCUGAUCGUC